This 253-nucleotide ribosomal RNA is filed under the name uncultured bacterium. Its description in RNAcentral is "partial 16S ribosomal RNA". It matches the Rfam family "Bacterial small subunit ribosomal RNA", at positions 524 to 776 of the family's 1533-position model. The record is from RNAcentral.
UACAGAGGGCUCGAGCGUUGUUCGGAUUCAUUGGGCGUAAAGGGUGCGUAGGUGGCGCCGUAAGUCGGGUGUGAAAUUUCGGAGCUUAACUCCGAAACUGCAUUCGAUACUGCGGUGCUUGAGGACUGGAGAGGAGACUGGAAUUCAUGGUGUAGCAGUGAAAUGCGUAGAGAUCAUGAGGAAGACCAGUGGCGAAGGCGGGUCUCUGGACAGUUCCUGACGCUGAGGCACGAAGGCCAGGGGAGCAAACGGG